This 5392-nucleotide unclassified non-coding RNA is filed under the name Hevea brasiliensis (rubber tree). The record is from RNAcentral. Lineage: Eukaryota; Viridiplantae; Streptophyta; Magnoliopsida; Malpighiales; Euphorbiaceae.
UUUCAAAAUAAAAAAAUGAUGGAAUUGCAAAUAAUACCAUUCAUAUUUUAACCCUUAGAAAUACUAAAAAAAAUAAUUACAUUGAGGUCAAGAUAAUUUUCACACUUUAAUUCAAAAUCAACAAGUGGAGGAGACAUGUAGAUGUUUUUCAGAGUGCUGGUUUUGUUCUUAUGUUUGCUUGUGUAAGUUGAGCAAUCAGAUGCAGGUUGACGACGCUGAGGUGGAAGCGACCUCAUUUGCGGUAUCUCGUGCGACAGAAGCUGGCAUAUGAACGUUGAUAAUACGAUGAAAUCUACGUGGGACCCACCACCUCGACGCCAAGCUCAUCCCGGAUUCAUACUAUGGUAAUUGGCUUCUUCAUCUUAGUACCAUCAGGCAUGUGUGCUCUGUUUUUGAAGUCCAUCAUGUGUAUCGUGAGUCCAGUAAGGUGGCUCACUGCCUUGCUAAACCGGGCCUCCGUCUUUCAGAGGUGUUUAUGGAUGGAGGAAGUCCCUCCAUCGGCAGCUGAUGCUUUGAACCAGGAUUUGCCUGUUUAAUUUUUAAUACAUUUCCACUGUUUUACUUCUCAAAAAAAAGUUUAAAUGAGAAAGGAUGGAAUGUAAACAUCAUCACCUCAUAAAGCAUAUAAACCAUAGAUCCUUUUUUUUAUAAUACAUACAAGUAAAUACUAUGAUUGUUUUUUGUUUUUUUUUAGUAGGAAAUUGGGUAAGUAGAGACUCAAAUCUAUGCCUUUAGCCAUUGAACCAAACCAGGCUAGGCAAUAAAUACCAUGAAAGUUAUAAUUAAAGAUGUGUAAUGAAUUUUUAAAAUAAGUUAACUUAUUUAUAUAUUAGAAAUAAAGUAAAAUAAAAUGUUAUCCAUGAAGUCCCAGCUAUGUGUUUGAGCUAUCAUGCAUAUAGAUAUGCAUUCAAAGACUUGCCCACAAUUUGGAAACAGAUACAGUAAAAUAGUUCAUUCAUAUACACUUAGAAUACGGAAUGUUUCCUCUCUGAAAUGAAACAUUGUUUUUUAAAAAAUUUUGUGACGCAGUUAUUUUUGUACUGGUACAAAUAAUAUAUUACUCCAAAUGUUUGCAAAAGCCUUCAACAAUCUAGUGAGAAGAAACUUCUUACUUUCUUUUCAGUUGUGAACAGCAAAACAAGGAUCUUGGAGACUUUCUAACUCUUCUUCUACCUGCAUAAUCAUCUAAAACGUUUUAGAUUUUCUUACAUCUGAUAAGUGGUAUGCCAAACAAUAUCUUCAGUUAUAGCUCUUGUAAUCAUGGACAAAUAAAUAACAAAUUCUUACAGAAAAAUGCAAGGGAUCAAGUACAUAAAGAAACAAAUAUAUUUUAAACUUUACCUUUGUUUUGAUUUUAUAUUUCUUCCACUAGAAGCAGAAAUGCUUCUUUUGUGAUCUUUUAUUUUGCUUUUCUUAGCUCUUGAUUUGGAGGUCCCUUUUGUGAUAUAUUUUGGUGACUGGACUUCAGUCCCAUCUGGCUCUGUAUCUAUCACCUCACUGGAAACACCUGAAUAUUCAUCUGAAUCAUCAAAUUUUGUAUCUGUUGCCUCAUUCAUAGAUUGAGGCAUGCCUUCCAUGGAUGGAUCAAUGACUUCAUCUUCAGCAUUAAUGAAUUCUUCACCCUCAUUUCCAGACCUGACAACACGUUCCACAUUUUCAACCUUUUGUUGAUGAAUUUGGGCAUUUCUUGCCGUCACUUCUUGCUCCUUCUUUUCCACGUGGAACUUAUUAAGCUUAUCUUCAAACUCCUCAAUGCAUAACUUAAGCUCUGGUUUUGCAAACUUUUUACCCUUGUUAAUUAUGCUUCUGAAAUGAUCCAUGACAGAAUCCUCAGACAGGACAUGCUCAUAUGUCUUGAAUGAUUCAAUGAGCUUUUUCAUUCCCUUCUCAGCAAAUGAUAGUUGAGAGAGGCAAUAAGAAAUAUAUUCCCACUGCCUAACAUCAGUGACUCCACUAAACCGAUUGCAGAGCUUUUCUACAAGAGCUUCCAUUUGCUUUUCCUUUUUGAUGGAACCAAUUAAGAACUGCAUGAUGUUGCAGAAAGACUCCCUCCGCAGAUUCUGGGAAGACAGUUUGCCAAGUAUAUCUGGAAGUAAAUUAUAUACAGGAUUGCUUCCCUUCUUAGACAACUCAUGGAAGAAAAGUUUAGCCAGAUUUGAUAUCCUCUCAUCUUCAUCUUCUAAACAUAGAGUCAUCUCAUUUAUAUAACCUUUCACCUUCAUCAUGUCAUUUAAGAUGAGAUGUGAAAGAACCAGCACAGCAUUUUUUCUAACAGAGACAGAAGGAUCUCGCAACCGGGCAUACAUAUUCUCAGUCCAUGGCUCUAACAGAUUUGGAAAGCGAACUGCCAAAUCUCCUAGAGCAAUAGUGCAAUUGGAACGGACAGUUUCUGAUGGUGCACUUUCCACAACUGUGAAUAGAAGCUGGAGAUUCGCAUCACAAAAAUUUGCAUCAAUAAUCAUAAAUCUACAAAGAGCGAGCAUUCCAGAUGCCUGGAGUACUGGAUACUUUUGCAUCAAACUAAAAUUUCUACAAAGCUUUGACAAGAAAGGUGCACAAAGCCCUAUCAAAUUCUUCUCACUGGAACCACUGGAAACAAUCUCUUGCUCUGCUCUUUCAGAAAGUGUGUCAAGAAUUGCAUCUUCUGAGGCAGCAAUGCCUAGCUCAGCAUUUAUAUUGUUAUCAUUUGGAGUAUUGGAUGGUUUUAUGCCACCAUUCUGAACAUCAGUAACCAUUUUUUCCUUUGUCUUCUGCUUCUGGAUUUUUCGAACACAGGAUUCUAUGUAUAGCAACUGGUUCAUGGCAAUAUGACUUAUAACAAAUAAAAAUCUACCAAGUUUUGACACUUGAACUGCUGCGAGAUCAUUGUUACUAGAACUGUCAAUGUCAUUCUGCAGUUCAUGUUCUUCACUACAGUCAAAAACAGAACUAAAAGAUUUCUUUACAAUAUCAGCAGCUAAGGUUUCUGGAGUUGGAUGAAUUGUAUAUAUGGCACCUAUUGCUUUAUCAGCAGCAGCAUACCAUAUGUCUUCUGGGAGCAAAAAUCCUGUAAUUAAGCUUUCCAGUAUACCAAAUACACGACUACCAUUACUAACCAACAAUUUUUUUCUAUCCUCUACAGACAAUCUUUGAAUGGCAAUGCAUGCUGUUCUGGCAAGUAAAGGUUCCACUUUAGCCCACCGACCAAAGCCAAUAUCAAUAAUAUCUUGCAAGUGAGAGCCAAGAACUCCAGUGGAUGAUUUUGCAGCCAUGCAAAGCACAGAUAAUGCACCACGGCUUUGUUCUGCUGUGGUUCCACUGAUAUUAAAGCAAAAGAAAUCCCAUAAUGCUGAUAUCGUGCCUGGAGAUAUAUCACCUUUAGACACCAAGGCAUUGAUAAUAAAUUCCAGAGCUGCAAGAUCUCCAAUAUUUGAAUCUAUGGCAAGAUUCAAAAGAUUCUUAGCUGUUUCUGCUGGACUUUUCCUCACAUAAAUAGUAAUAAAUGCAUUCUCCACAGCUUCAUAGAUAGAUUUAUCCUGUGAGAAUACCAGUGGCAACAUCUUACGGAGACAUUCUUCAGCGCCAUCAAUUUGGAACUGUUUGCACCUCAUCAGCAAGAGAAUUGUGUUCUCAACAUCUGUGGCAGAAGAUGAAGCCAUCAAUUGAACAAGAGUAGGCAUUGUGGCAGAGAUGCACUUAGAAAACCUCAAGCCAGCCUCAAGAGAUGCAACCAAGGCCCGAGUUUGCUCCAAGUUCCCAACAUCUGGCACUAAGCUAUCCUUCUGAGCGAUCUUUUCUUCUAGAUGAGGCAGACAACUAUCCGUUAAACUCUCCUGAUGUUUCUCAGCCAACUCUUCAGCAUUUGCAUUAUCAACCUCACCUUCUCCACCAGAGGUAUCACUAUCAGAUUGUAAACCAUCACUAACACUCUGUACAUUUGUAUCAGGUUCAAGCUCAUUCAGUUUCUUCUUAUAUUGCUCUAAGGUUGCUUCAAAUGAAGCUAUUCUAAGUUGCGGACCAAAAGGAUUAUGCUGCAACAUCAUUAUAAGUAAAUUUAAUGCAGCUUUUCUAACCAACGCAGAUUUGUCCUCCAAUCUCCCAGCAGCAACUGCUGCAACCUCAUUCCAGAAACCAAUUGAAACAGAAUGCUCUUCACAUAGUUCAGCCCAAACCUGAAGGACCCGACUCCUAGUAAAAGCAGAAACAUCUCGACACCGUUCAAGUAAAAUUUCCAACAUAGCUUGCUUGGUUCGGAGAUGAACAGAUUUAGAACUCACUUCAGCCUCAACAUCCUUAAAUGCCUUGGCGACCAACUUUCCCAAAACACCAACUAAAGCAUUCCUUAUCUUAUAGGAUUCCCCUCCAAAGUGUGGGACCAAAACACCGAUGUUGGUUGAAAUCAACUUUGGCAGCCGAUCGGCAAGUUCUACUAGAAAACGGCCAACAUUUUCAGCCCCAACAGUGUCCUUCACAUAAGCUUUCGGGUUAGUUCUCCCAAUCUCUCUAAUAAGAGAACAUGCAAGAGUUCCAUCAGCAUAUUUUUUCUCAGCCCCAGCAACUGCAUCAGCCAUGUGUAUAACAACAAAAUCGUAUUUGUGAAUCAGGUGCAAGAUCGAUGCACAUGAUUGUGUUGUGUAAUGGUAUUUUGUUGCACAAGCCCCAAUAACAUGGCAAAGAGCAUCUUUUGUUUCAGAGUCUUUAAGGAGUGAUGGGUUCUCUAACAUAGAGAAGGUGUUUUUCAUAAUGAAUGAAAGAUAAUUUUCAUCUGGGUUUGAUGAUCCAAAAAGCAAAUCAAGGUUGACUUCUAAUGAAUUAGCAAUCAGAUUAAGUAUCCGACCCCUCUGUGGUUCCCAAUUCCAUGAAUGUAAUGGCUGUUUCUUUCUGGUACUUGUUGUCACCUUUAAAUUGGUGUUUGCACUAGCAUUGGACUCCUCUGCGAGAACAAUGUUGAGGAGGAAGAAUGUGUAUAUUUUGAAAGCAUUCCUAUGUGAUGCGACCCUAUCAAGCACAGGAGGAUCAUCAUCGUGGCCUUGAGAAACCCGGGAGAGUGAAUCAACAUUUGGGAGAAGAACACUGAGGUUGGAUCGAAGACUUUCAACAAGAUUGAGUUUACAAGAUGAGGUUAGAUUAGAGAAACCCAAAACCAAUGAGUAAACGCGAUCAAACACAUCUUGUUCUUCAAUACAGAAAAGUUCUUUAUCCGACAGAUCAAAGGACACACCUUUGACGAACUCUUCGAGUUCAGAAGGACGAAGAGAAGCAACGUCGAUUGGGUUCUGAGCGCAGAGACGGUUGUCUCCGGGCUGCUCCUCUUCCAGAGAUCGGAGGCUCUGAGGAAAGACAAAGAGCGGAGCCAUUGUAGAGAGAAGAGGGAAAAGAGAGAGUUUCUCUUUUCUGAGCUUUUGUUUCAAAG